AUGCUGUCUCUGCUUCAGAAGCUCUCUGCCAUAAAACAAGCAUCCACACAGCCUCCUUCCUCUGCUGCUGCCUGUGAGAUGAAGACUGACAGUGGCUCCAGGGUGUGCGGUGCUGCGUGUUCUGGCUCAGUCCCAGCGAUGCCCUUAACUCUACCACAUGCCAUAUGCAACAAAGUGCAGAGAUGGACUAUAGGCUUCCAGCGAGUUACCACUGCCAAGGAGGAUGCAAAGACAGGCAGUUUCCUGGCAUCCCCUGCUUUCUUGAAGACAAUGUACCAUAUCACCGUGGGGAAAAAAGAAAAGCAGAUUUCUCUGGACAGCAAUCAUCCUUCAGCUUCUAAGAAAGAACAGUCUCACUAGACAAGAUGACAAAGAAAAGUGGCCCCUUGGAUAAGCGACUCAUCACUUCUUCUGCCAUCACUUCUCACGUUAAUUCCAGUGACUACAGUACUACAAUGAAAAUGGAACAUAGGAGUUUUCGUAAGCAUGUAAGCAAAAAUAUCUUAAAAUCUCUGAAAAAUAAAAGUAGGAUUUAGGUACCCUUUUUUGCA
Molecule: long non-coding RNA, 551 nt
Filed under: Phasianus colchicus (ring-necked pheasant)
Lineage: Eukaryota; Metazoa; Chordata; Aves; Galliformes; Phasianidae
Description: lncRNA (ENSPCLG00000001410.1)
Source: RNAcentral